GGCAGCAGUAGGGAAUUUUCGUCAAUGGGCGCAAGCCUGAACGAGCAAUGCCGCGUGAACGAGGAAGGUCUUCGGAUCGUAAAGUUCUGUUGAAGGGGAAAAAGAGCGGAGAGAGGAAAUGCUUUCUGAUUGAUAUUACCCUUCGAGGAAGUCACGGCUAACUACGUGCC
Molecule: ribosomal RNA, 170 nt
Filed under: uncultured bacterium
Lineage: Bacteria
Description: partial 16S ribosomal RNA
Rfam family: Bacterial small subunit ribosomal RNA
Source: RNAcentral